This 235-nucleotide ribosomal RNA is filed under the name uncultured Staphylococcus sp. RNAcentral describes it as "partial 16S ribosomal RNA". It matches the Rfam family "Bacterial small subunit ribosomal RNA", at positions 105 to 334 of the family's 1533-position model. The record is from RNAcentral. Lineage: Bacteria; Bacillati; Bacillota; Bacilli; Caryophanales; Staphylococcaceae.
GGUGAGUAACACGUGGAUAACCUACCUAUAAGACUGGGAUAACUUCGGGAAACCGGAGCUAAUACCGGAUAAUAUUUUGAACCGCAUGGUUCAAAAGUGAAAGACGGUCUUGCUGUCACUUAUAGAUGGAUCCGCUCUGCAUUAGCUAGUUGGUAAGGUAACGGCUUACCAAGGCAACGAUGCAUAGCCGACCUGAGAGGGUGAUCGGCCACACUGGAACUGAGACACGGUCCAG